UCCUGUUGUGAACUGAAAAUCAGUUACCCCCUUCCCCUCCCACUCUGUUGAAUCCUCAGACCCAGCCCUUGGUUCCUCAGGGCCGUGGCACUGGGCAGAGUUGGCAGCCUCGUCUGGGAAACCGGAGGCGGCUGCUGACGCUAGAGGUAACGCGGGAUGCUGGUGCAACACAAGCCUGCUGCUCAGCAGAGAAAACGCCCAAGACGUUGGCGUGUGUCUGUCUGCAUGACUCACUGGAGGAGCUGUCUCUCUGGGAGGAAGUCGGGAGCCGCCUCUCAGAAUUCCAUUUAGUAUGACAAGAACUAGCUCUAUACUCAUCUGCAGCAAGAAUCAUGCCAAGAAGGCGAGUCAGCCAAAGUGAGGAAAUUACAGGACUUCCAUUUUUGGACAAGAAGGUACCGUGACAGCAAUUUUAACUACGUGACAUUGAAUAAAAAUGUAUUUCAA
This 447-nucleotide long non-coding RNA is filed under the name Capra hircus (goat). RNAcentral describes it as "lncRNA (ENSCHIG00000000909.1)". The record is from RNAcentral. Lineage: Eukaryota; Metazoa; Chordata; Mammalia; Artiodactyla; Bovidae.